RNAcentral lists this ribosomal RNA (492 nucleotides) under uncultured bacterium. RNAcentral's name for it is "partial 16S ribosomal RNA". It matches the Rfam family "Bacterial small subunit ribosomal RNA", at positions 29 to 507 of the family's 1533-position model. The record is from RNAcentral.
AGUGAACGCUGGCGGUAGGCCUAACACAUGCAAGUCGAACGGCAGCACCGUAAUAGCUUGCUCUUACGGGUGGCGGGUUGCGGACGGGUGAGGAAUACAUCGGAAUCUACUUUUUCGUGGGGUAUCACGUAGGGAAACUUACGCUAAUACCGCAUACGACCUACGGGUGAGAGCAGGGGAUCUUCGGACCUUUCGCGAUUGAAUGAGCCGAUGUCGGAUUUGCUGGUUGGCGGGGUAAAGGCCCACCAAGUGGACGAUUCGUAGCUGGUCUGAGAGGAUGAUCAGCCACACUGGAGCGGGAACACAGUCCAAGCGCCUAAGGGAGGCAGCAGUGGGGUAUAUUGGACAAUGGUAGCAAGCCUUAUCCAGCCAUACGGAGUGGGAUGAAAAGGCCUUCGGGUUGGAAAGACCUUUUGUUGGUAAAAAAAAGCAGUAGGUUAAUACCCCGCGGGUCUGACGGUACCCGAUGAAGAAGCACCGGCUAACUUCGUG